CUUCUCACCUGCCUCACAAGGCCAUCCACGACAACAGUGAUUCACGUUGGCUCUCUGGAUGAGCUUGCUGGGCAAGAAGCAUCAGUAUAAAUAGGCAGAUCUUAAUGUUGCUCUUGAUCAAUGACAGGUUUCUGACUGCCCAGG
Carlito syrichta (Philippine tarsier) is the source of this 144-nucleotide unclassified non-coding RNA. Lineage: Eukaryota; Metazoa; Chordata; Mammalia; Primates; Tarsiidae. The record is from Ensembl.